This 541-nucleotide ribosomal RNA is filed under the name uncultured Pseudomonadota bacterium. RNAcentral describes it as "bacterial SSU rRNA". It matches the Rfam family "Bacterial small subunit ribosomal RNA", at positions 9 to 477 of the family's 1533-position model. The record is from RNAcentral. Lineage: Bacteria; Pseudomonadati; Pseudomonadota.
AGGCUAUGAUCGUGGCUCAGAUUGAACGCUGGCGGCACGCUUAACACAUGCAAGUCGAACGGUAACAGGCUUUCGGGCGCUGACGAGUGGCGGACGGGUGAGUAAUGCAUGGGAAUCUGCCCUGUAGUGGGGGAUAACCCGGAGAAAUCCGGGCUAAUACCGCAUAGGUUCUACGGAACAAAGCGGGGUUCGGCCUCGCGCUAUAGGAUGAGCCCAUGUCCGAUUAGCUGGUUGGUAGGGUAACGGCUAACCAAGGCGACGAUCGGUAGCUGGUCUGAGAGGACGAUCAGCCACACUGGGACUGAGACACGGCCCAGACUCUUACGGGAGGCAGCAGUGGGGAAUUUUGCGACAAUGGGGCGAUACCCUGAUGCCAGUCCAUGCACGACUGUUGCGGAGGAAGUAAGGCCUUUCGGGUUGUAAACCUGCUUACUCGCGCAGUGCAUACGCAGAACGCGACGACGGCGACGACAUGAUCCAUCCGUGACGUCAAUGUACGGCUACCCUGCUAGUCAAUGAAGACAUUCCGGCCCUCACGAUA